CACGUUCGGACUGUAGUCUGCAACCCGACUACACGAAGCUGGAAUCGCUAGUAAUCGCGAAUCAGAAUGUCGCGGUGAAUACGUUCCCGGGUCUUGUACACACCGCCCGUCACGCCAUGGGAGUCGGGAAUGCCCGAAGUCAGUGACCCAACCAUAUGGAGGGAGCUGCCGAAGGCAGGUCUGAUAACUGGGGUGAAGUCGUAACAAGGUAGC
This 213-nucleotide ribosomal RNA is filed under the name uncultured bacterium. Its description in RNAcentral is "partial 16S ribosomal RNA". It matches the Rfam family "Bacterial small subunit ribosomal RNA", at positions 1288 to 1500 of the family's 1533-position model. The record is from RNAcentral.